AUGCUCUCUUAGGCAACACAUAUACUAAAAUUAGAACAAUACAGAGAAGAUUAGCAUGGC
Spermophilus dauricus (Daurian ground squirrel) is the source of this 60-nucleotide small nuclear RNA. The record is from Ensembl. Lineage: Eukaryota; Metazoa; Chordata; Mammalia; Rodentia; Sciuridae.